UACGAGGGGUGCAAGCGUUGCUCGGAAUCAUUGGGCGUAAAGGGUAGGUAGGUGGUCUCAUUUGUCUGAGGUGAAAGCCUUGAGCUUAACUCAAGAAGUGCCUCGGAAACGGUGAGACUGGAGUCCUGGAGAGGGUCGUGGAAUUCCCGGUGUAGCGGUGAAAUGCGUAGAGAUCGGGAGGAACACCAGAGGCGAAAGCGGCGACCUGGACAGGUACUGACACUUAACUACGAAAGCGUGGGGAGCAAACAGG
RNAcentral lists this ribosomal RNA (253 nucleotides) under uncultured bacterium. Its description in RNAcentral is "partial 16S ribosomal RNA". It matches the Rfam family "Bacterial small subunit ribosomal RNA", at positions 524 to 776 of the family's 1533-position model. The record is from RNAcentral.